This 634-nucleotide ribosomal RNA is filed under the name uncultured archaeon. RNAcentral describes it as "bacterial SSU rRNA". It matches the Rfam family "Archaeal small subunit ribosomal RNA", at positions 710 to 1346 of the family's 1478-position model. The record is from RNAcentral.
GCUGGGGGCGCAAACCGGAUUAAUACCCGGGUAGUCCCAGCAGUAACGAUGCCAGCUAUGUGUUGCUGGAACCAUGGGUUCAGCAGUGCCGAAGGGAAGCCGUGAAGCUGGCCACCUGGGAAGUACGGUCGCAAGGCUGAAACUUAAAGGAAUUGGCGGGGGAGUACCACAACCGGUGGAGCCUGCGGUUUAAUUGGAUACAACGCCGGGAAUCUUACCGGAGGGGACAGCAGUAUGAAGGCCAGGCUAAAGACCUUGCCAGAUCAGCUGAGAGGAGGUGCAUGGCCGUCGCCAGUUCGUACCGUGAGGCAUCCUGUUUAGUCAGGCAACGAUCGAGACCCGCAGUCUUAUUUGCCAGCAUGCCCUUUGGGGUGUAUGGGUACAAUAAGACGACCGCCAGCGCUAAGCUGGAGGAAGGAGCGGGCUACGGUAGGUCAGCAUGCCCCGAAUCCUCCGGGAUACACGCGGGCUACAAUGGUCAGGACAAAAGGUACCGACCUCGAAAGAGUGAGGUAAUCCACAAACCUGAUCUCAGUCCGGAUCGAAGGCUGCAACUCGCCUUCGUGAAGAUGGAAUCGGUAGUAAUCGUGACUCAAAAUGUCACGGUGAAUAUGUCCCUGCUCCUUGCACACAC